CUUCUUUUGUCUUUGCUGCAGACGAGACCUUGCACUUCACUUGACCCCCUCCUCCAGGAGGAAGCAGGAUCAGCGCCCGGUGCUGCCCCAGUGCCGGCAGAAGAACAGCGGCUCUUGGAAGCGUGACCUGCUGGGAGAUCGUCGGGGAGAAGAGGACGCGCCUUCUGCGCCGAGGGAGCCUUCUCCUGUAAUCCCACCUUCAAUGAGACGAUGCUCAGCUGCUCCGGAACAGCCACGGAGGGAACGGACGGAAGAGGAGAGCCCAGAUGACUGCGCCCGUGUGAAGUGCCAUGCAGAGACUGAAUGCAGAGACUGAGCCAGCAAACAACGGAGUAGAUAGCAUAGAGAAUUAGUUAACACUAAAAUGUAUUAGUAUAGCAUAGUGCAGUUGUCAAAUAGCUUUGUAAAUAAAUUCACUUUGUUUGUAUCCUUAUCUUGUGUUGUGUAAAAUGAUGGGGAUGGGUAGUCUGAUACUUCAGGAAAUAAAUGAUUUGGAAAC
Gallus gallus (chicken) is the source of this 499-nucleotide long non-coding RNA. RefSeq lists it as uncharacterized. The record is from RefSeq and is a predicted model, not a curated record. The transcript has 2 exons. NCBI's taxonomy places the organism in Eukaryota, Metazoa, Chordata, Aves, Galliformes, Phasianidae.